Priapulus caudatus is the source of this 999-nucleotide long non-coding RNA. RefSeq lists it as uncharacterized. NCBI's taxonomy places the organism in Eukaryota, Metazoa, Priapulida, Priapulimorpha, Priapulimorphida, Priapulidae. The transcript has 2 exons. The record is from RefSeq and is a predicted model, not a curated record.
GACGUGGAUGUAUCGCCUUCGGCUGCCGAUGCAGACACAGAGGGAAGAGCAGAAGGGUUGAAGUCUUCUAUCUAGACAGCUUGGCAAUGGUCUCUCGCUGACACAUGGCGCUACCUGGUGUCAUUGCUCGCACGAUGACUGCCUCCAGAAAACUAGCGGGAAACGCUGGAGACAUAUGAAUGGCCAUCAUUCAGGCUGCUGCAACUUCGUCGCUAUAAUGGGAGCAAUAAUCUCGACUGUAGGGGUGUGGCAUCACCUCUCUCAAUGGUUUCCAUCCCAGUUGUCAUCCCCAGAGGUUUAAACACGCGGAUGAUGGAUGACAAGGGAUGGUUCCCUGCAUAGUGUGGUGCCAUCCAGGUGUUGAAACUUAAAGCUUACGUUUGUAUUGCUAUUAGAGCAAUGCAGAGGGAGGGUUGCGUUUGGGCGUAAACGCUAUUUAGAUGAACAGGGAAGGCAUCUGGUUUGCCAGAUACUGGUGUAAGACAUUUGGUUUCCCACCGCUAGAGUCGGUGAUGAUAGUAGAUUUUUGGGACGUCGUGAUGUGUACUCCAUUGUGAACGGUGUGUUUGACCCAGUUGGGCAUUGUAGUCAUAGUGGCGGUUUAAGGUUGACGCUGUUCCCAUGGAAACUAUUAUUCCGGUAUAUAUAAUAAUGUAAAGGUAUUAUCGUAGCUGUCCAUUGAGCCUUAGUAGUGUCACGGUACCUAUGUAUUAUAUUGUACUAUGUAACUAUUAUAGAGUUGUUACCUUACAUGUUCUGCCUUUACGAGGUAAUGUACGUCCGGAUGUAUUUAAGAAAUAUCUACGUUGAUGCAUUUUAUAAGCUACUCAGUUUUGUUCCACGUGUCAUUGUGAAAAUUAGGUUAACAGUGUAUGAAAAGUGUAUUGAUGUUUUUGUUAUAUAAUCCAGCUAUAUUAAAAACACUAUCAUGUAACCUGUCUCAGCAAAAAUCAAGGCAACUAUUAAUAAAUGGCUGAAUUGAAUUUUGUUUUAACAAGA